UAAUACGAAUGGGGCAAGCGUUGUUCGGAAUCACUGGGCGUAAAGCGUGUGUAGGCGGUUAAUCAAGUCAGAAGUGAAAUCCCAGGGCUUAACCCUGGAAUUGCUUUUGAAACUGAUUGGCUAGAGUACUGGAGAGGUUAGCAGAAUUCCGAGUGUAGAGGUGAAAUUCGCAGAUAUUCGGAGGAAUACCAGUGGCGUAAGCGGCUAACUGGACAGUAACUGACGCUGAGACACGAAAGCGUGGGGAUCAAACAGGAUUAGAUACCCUGGUAGUCCACGCUGUAAACGAUGUAUGUUAGUUGUCGGGAGGUUUACCUUUCGGCGACAAAGCUAACGCAUUAAACAUACCGCCUGGGGAGUACGGUCGCAAGAUUA
RNAcentral lists this ribosomal RNA (375 nucleotides) under uncultured bacterium. Its description in RNAcentral is "bacterial SSU rRNA". It matches the Rfam family "Bacterial small subunit ribosomal RNA", at positions 521 to 896 of the family's 1533-position model. The record is from RNAcentral.